Molecule: ribosomal RNA, 447 nt
Filed under: uncultured bacterium
Lineage: Bacteria
Description: bacterial SSU rRNA
Rfam family: Bacterial small subunit ribosomal RNA
Source: RNAcentral
AUGAACGCUGGCGGCGUGUCUAAGGCAUGCAAGUCGAAUGGGUUUAGACCCAUGGCAAACGGGUGCGUAACACAUUGGUAACCUACCCUGGAGUCGUGAAUAACCCACCGAAAGGUGAGCUAAUACACGAUAGUCAUGAGGGGACGUAAGUCAUUCUCAUGUAAAAAUUUAUUGCUUCAGGAGGGGCCUAUGGCUUAUCAGCUUGUUGGUGGGGUAAUGGCCUACCAAGGCGAUGACGAGUAGCGGGUGUGAGAGCACGACCCGCCUCACUGGGACUGAGACACUGCCCAGACUCCUACGGGAGGCUGCAGUCAAGAAUAUUCCUCAAUGGACGAAAGUCUGAAGGAGCGACGCCGCGUGCCGGAUGAAGUCUUUCGGGAUGUAAACGGCUUUUAUUAGGGAACAAAUUUUGAGUGUACCUAAAGAAUAAGGGGCUGCUAACUUCGU